RNAcentral lists this transfer RNA (67 nucleotides) under Intoshia linei. It matches the Rfam family "tRNA". Rfam says of the family: Transfer RNA (tRNA) molecules are approximately 80 nucleotides in length. Their secondary structure includes four short double-helical elements and three loops (D, anti-codon, and T loops). The record is from Rfam by way of RNAcentral. Lineage: Eukaryota; Metazoa; Orthonectida; Rhopaluridae.
AGGGGUAUAGCGGUAGAGGAUUCGAUUGCAGAUUCAGAGGUCCCUGGUUCAAAUCCUGGUACCUCUU